UACGUAGGUGGCAAGCGUUAUCCGGAUUUAUUGGGUGUAAAGGGCGUGUAGGCGGGAGCGCAAGUCAGAUGUGAAAACUCAGGGCUCAACCCUGAGCCUGCAUUUGAAACUGUGUUUCUUGAGUGCUGGAGAGACAAUCGGAAUUCCGUGUGUAGCGGUGAAAUGCGUAGAUAUACGGAGGAACACCAGUGGCGAAGGCGGAUUGCUGGACAGUAACUGACGCUGAGGCGCGAAAGCGUGGGGAGCAAACAGG
Molecule: ribosomal RNA, 253 nt
Filed under: uncultured bacterium
Lineage: Bacteria
Description: partial 16S ribosomal RNA
Rfam family: Bacterial small subunit ribosomal RNA
Source: RNAcentral